This 78-nucleotide microRNA precursor is filed under the name Schistosoma curassoni. RNAcentral describes it as "mir-3492 microRNA precursor family". It matches the Rfam family "mir-3492 microRNA precursor family". Lineage: Eukaryota; Metazoa; Platyhelminthes; Trematoda; Strigeidida; Schistosomatidae. The record is from Rfam by way of RNAcentral.
AGCUUUUCAAAUCCGUGCUGAGAUUUCGUCAGACACCAACCCAUUGGAGUUAAUCAGACGUCCAAGAUAAGUGAAGUU